AUGCACCAAACUAGUCUAACGCAGUUAACGUAUAAGCUGAAGUGAACAAGAAAGAAAAAUAUCUGAUACAGAUUGAUAACGCGUUCUCGGAGCUUCAACUUUCUCCUUCGCUUCCUCUUAUCGUCAAUCGCGUUCAAACAUAGAGCAACAAUCAAUGAACAUCUCUUAAACGAAUCACAACAACGUGUUCUUUAUUUCUCGGCCUCGCGUUCAUCAAUCCUCAUUGCGAUUCAAUGAUGCUUCACGGAUUCACGUCAUUCAUCAAUCAAUCAUGAUUCGCGUUCCUCCAUUAUCAUCGCAAUUCAACGAUUCAAGCAUCCUUCUACGAAAUCAACCUAGACAGCUACCAAAAUCCACGGCGCCGAAUCGCAACGACAUCACGGAAUCGAGCUCAAACGCAUUGAAAAAUGAGGAAGAACCUACCGGUUGCGAGCAGCUUGCAAGAAUAGGUACGAAUCCUAUAUGUUUCUUCUGAAAUUCAUGCUCUUGGAUACGUGAAUUGUUUGCAUAUGUGCUAUGCGUUUGUUACGAUCUUGCUUUCUUCUCUUCUGAACUUUUUGUUAUGAAAGAGUGAAUGAAAACAAUUUGAUGAAAAGUGGAUUUGUUGAUACGUGAUGAAUAGUGGUUUUUGAUUUGCGUUCGUUUGAGAUUUUCUGUUAUGCUGUGAAAAAAGGAACUUCGAUCCCUCAUUCUGAACUGAAGCUGGGGUUAUAUAGGAUGUUAUUUAAUGUUUUCAAACUCACAUGAAAUUCAAUCGAAAUGCUGUAGUCUCUCAAGCACGGGUACUCCAUAAAGCCACCAAAGCCGUACCAAUUUUUUUGUUUUCUUUCUAAGUUGUAACAUCAACCCAUACAUAUUUG
RNAcentral lists this long non-coding RNA (860 nucleotides) under Lathyrus oleraceus (garden pea). RNAcentral's name for it is "Pisum sativum (pea) long non-coding RNA (PSAT_LNC041931)". Lineage: Eukaryota; Viridiplantae; Streptophyta; Magnoliopsida; Fabales; Fabaceae. The record is from RNAcentral.